AGUUUGAUCCUGGCUCAAGAUGAACGCUAUCUACAGGCUUAACACAUGCAAGUCGAGGGGCAGCAUGGUCUUAUCUUGCUAAGGCCGAUGGCGACCGGCGCACGGGUGAGUAACACGUAUCCAACCUGCCGUCUACUCUUGGACAGCCUUCUGAAAGGAAGAUUAAUACAAGAUGGCAUCAUGAGUCCGCAUGUUCACAUGAUUAAAGGUAUUCCGGUAGACGAUGGGGAUGCGUUCCAUUAGAUAGUAGGCGGGGUAACGGCCCACCUAGUCUUCGAUGGAUGGGGGUUCUGAGAGGAAGGUCCCCCACAUUGGAACUGAGACACGGUCCAAACUCCUACGGGAGGCAGCAGUGAGGAAUAUUGGUCAAUGGGCGAGAGCCUGAACCAGCCAAGUAGCGUGAAGGAUGACUGCCCUAUGGGUUGUAAACUUCUUUUAUAAAGGAAUAAAGUCGGGUAUGGAUACCCCGUUUGCAUGUACUUUAUGAAUAAGGAUCGGCUAACUCCGUGCCAGCAGCCGCGGUAAUACGGAGGAUCCGAGCGUUAUCCGGAUUUAUUGGGUUUAAAGGGAGCGUAGAUGGAUGUUUAAGUCAGUUGUGAAAGUUUGCGGCUCAACCGUAAAAUUGCAGUUGAUACUGGAUAUCUUGAGUGCAGUUGAGGCAGGCGGAAUUCGUGGUGUAGCGGUGAAAUGCUUAGAUAUCACGAAGAACUCCGAUUGCGAAGGCAGCCUGCUAAGCUGCAACUGACAUUGAGGCUCGAAAGUGUGGGUAUCAAACAGGAUUAGAUACCCUGGUAGUCCACACGGUAAACGAUGAAUACUCGCUGUUUGCGAUAUACAGCAAGCGGCCAAGCGAAAGCGUUAAGUAUUCCACCUGGGGAGUACGCCGGCAACGGUGAAACUCAAAGGAAUUGACGGGGGCCCGCACAAGCGGAGGAACAUGUGGUUUAAUUCGAUGAUACGCGAGGAACCUUACCCGGGCUUAAAUUGCAGAUGAAUUACGGUGAAAGCCGUAAGCCGCAAGGCAUCUGUGAAGGUGCUGCAUGGUUGUCGUCAGCUCGUGCCGUGAGGUGUCGGCUUAAGUGCCAUAACGAGCGCAACCCUUGUUGUCAGUUACUAGCAGGUUCCGCUGAGGACUCUGACAAGACUGCCAUCGUAAGAUGUGAGGAAGGUGGGGAUGACGUCAAAUCAGCACGGCCCUUACGUCCGGGGCUACACACGUGUUACAAUGGGGGGUACAGAGGGCCGCUACCACGCGAGUGGAUGCCAAUCCCCAAAACCUCUCUCAGUUCGGACUGGAGUCUGCAACCCGACUCCACGAAGCUGGAUUCGCUAGUAAUCGCGCAUCAGCCACGGCGCGGUGAAUACGUUCCCGGGCCUUGCAC
This 1382-nucleotide ribosomal RNA is filed under the name uncultured bacterium. RNAcentral's name for it is "16S ribosomal RNA". It matches the Rfam family "Bacterial small subunit ribosomal RNA", at positions 10 to 1386 of the family's 1533-position model. The record is from RNAcentral.